This 899-nucleotide long non-coding RNA is filed under the name Anser cygnoides (Swan goose). Its description in RNAcentral is "lncRNA (ENSACDG00005005659.1)". The record is from RNAcentral. Lineage: Eukaryota; Metazoa; Chordata; Aves; Anseriformes; Anatidae.
CCGGCCUCAGCCACCGCCUCGGGGCCGGCUGCAGGCGGGGGACAGCGCCGGGAAGCCCCCGCGGGCGGCACCACGGGCACAGGUGCAGGGCGGCGGGCACCCAACGGCCGCGCCCCACCCGGUCCCCGGGCACGGCGCAGGGGGCGUCCGCAGCCCCCCGGCCCUCACCUGCUCUCCGCAGCCCGACGAGCGCUUCUCCCUCGGACCAGCCGGCGGGGCGCGGAGGGAAGGAGGAGGCGGCGGCGAAGCGAGCUGGGAGGCGGCUGAAGAGCGGCGCCUUCCCCCCCGCCGCCGGCGACCACCCGGCUGCGAUCGCGGGAGCGGCCGCGGCAAGCGGCUCGGGCGCCUUUGUUACGCCUCCCCCGGCUGCAGAGCGCUGCUGGGGAGGGAGCCCGGGCUGCAGCUGCUUCGCCUUUCUUCGGCUGCUGCCGCUGGCGGUGAUUUGCAUUAGCCCGGCCCUCAUUGACAUGCGGCUCUCCGCAGCAGCCUCUCCCCGCCGCUCUCUCCAGAGGGCGGCGCCGCCGUCUCCCCCUCUCCCCCCGUCUCCCCUCGCCGGGCGCUGCGGGGCGACUGCCUCAGCACUGCCCGCGGCUGCCCUCAGGCCCUGUCUGCCCGCCCGCCGCCUCCCUCACCCGUCCGGCCGCUGGCGAGGCCCUGGCCCGGAGUCCGAGGACGCCUGUUCUCAAAAGCCGAGCACCACCACAUUGACUGUUUCACCAGGUCAACAAUCACAUAAAAUAUUCAUGACAGUCUUAAAUGAUAAGAAAAAACAGGAGACUGCAAAGAUUAGAGAUGGAAAAGACUAUCACGGUCCUGACAAAGGGCUGCUCUUUAACAUUCUUCUUGAGUGCUCUUUUGUCCACCACUGUCGCAGGGUCCUCUGUGGUGCAUGUUUAUAA